AUAAGCCCGGGAAACUGGGUCUAAUACCGGAUAUGACACCUCCUCGCAUGGGGUGGGUGUGGAAAGUUUUUCGGUUGGGGAUGGACUCGCGGCCUAUCAGCUUGUUGGUGGGGUAAUGGCCUACCAAGGCGACGACGGGUAGCCGGCCUGAGAGGGCGACCGGCCACACUGGGACUGAGACACGGCCCAGACUCCUACGGGAGGCAGCAGUGGGGAAUAUUGCGCAAUGGGCGAAAGCCUGACGCAGCGACGCCGCGUGGGGGAUGACGGCCUUCGGGUUGUAAACCUCUUUCAGCAGGGACGAAGUUGACGUGUACCUGCAGAAGAAGCGCCGGCUAACUACGUGCCAGCAGCCGCGGUAAUACGUAGGGCGCAAGCGUUGUCCGGAAUUAUUGGGCGUAAAGAGCUCGUAGGUGGCUUGUCACGUCGGGUGUGAAAGCUUGGGGCUUAACUCCAGGUCUGCAUUCGAUACGGGCUGGCUAGAGGUAGGUAGGGGAGAACGGAAUUCCUGGUGUAGCGGUGAAAUGCGCAGAUAUCAGGAGGAACACCGGUGGCGAAGGCGGUUCUCUGGGCCUUACCUGACGCUGAGGAGCGAAAGCGUGGGGAGCGAACGGGAUUAGAUACCCUGGUAGUCCACGCUGUAAACGUUGGGCGCUAGGUGUGGGGACCUUCCACGGUUUCCGCGCCGUAGCUAACGCAUUAAGCGCCCCGCCUGGGGAGUACGGCCGCAAGGCUAAAACUCAAAGGAAUUGACGGGCCCGCACAAGCGGCGGAGCAUGUUGCUUAAUUCGACGCAACGCGAAGAACCUUACCAAGGCUUGACAUUGCCCGGAAACACUCAGAGAUGGGUGCCUCUUCGGAUCGGGUGACAGGUGGUGCAUGGCUGUCGUCAGCUCGUGUCGUGAGAUGUUGGGUUAAGUCCCGCAACGAGCGCAACCCUUGUUCAAUGUUGCCAGCAACAUCCUUCGGGGUGGUUGGGGACUCAUUGGAGACUGCCGGGGUCAACUCGGAGGAAGGUGGGGAUGACGUCAAGUCAUCAUGCCCCUUAUGUCUUGGGCUGCAAACAUGCUACAAUGGCCGGUACAGAGGGCUGCGAUACCGCAAGGUGGAGCGAAUCCCUAAAAGCCGGUCUCAGUUCGGAUUGGGGUCUGCAACUCGACCCCAUGAAGUCGGAGUCGCUAGUAAUCGCAGAUCAGCAACGCUGCGGUGAAUACGUUCCCGGGCCUUGUACACACCGCCCGUCACGUCACGAAAGUCGGCAACACCCGAAGCCCGUGGCCCAACCAGCUUGCUGGGGGGAGCGGUCGAAGGUGGGGCUGGCGAUUGGGACGAAGUCGGAACAAGGUAGCCGUACCGGAAGGUGCGGCUG
Molecule: ribosomal RNA, 1369 nt
Filed under: metagenome
Description: bacterial SSU rRNA
Rfam family: Bacterial small subunit ribosomal RNA
Source: RNAcentral